RNAcentral lists this unclassified non-coding RNA (1741 nucleotides) under Hevea brasiliensis (rubber tree). Lineage: Eukaryota; Viridiplantae; Streptophyta; Magnoliopsida; Malpighiales; Euphorbiaceae. The record is from RNAcentral.
UCAUAAGAUAAGGAUCAAAGGAUAAACAAAAGUGACAACUUAAAAAUACAAAUCAUAACAAAAGCAACAGGGAUAGAAAAGACACCCCACCUUGACCAUAAAUUUUUAUUAUUUACAAUUCCAUGGGCUUUUCCAAUUUUCUCCCUCAAAACCCUUGAAAGGGAAAAGAGAGAAAAUGGGGAAGGGACCCCUUCUUAAAAGACAACUUGCUCAUUCAUCAUCAUCCAUUGUUAUUCUUCUCAAGCAUCAUCACCAUCUUUCUUCAAAUUAUCAAAUAAAUUAAAAACUAAAUUAAGCAUUGCUCCUGAAGGAUCCUAGAGCCUUAAUGGCUGCUGCUCUAAGAAUGUAUUGGUGGUACAAAGCAGCAAUGGCAGCUCCAAUAAAAGGUCCAACCCAGAAGAUCCACUGAUCAUCCCAGGCCUUGUCUUUGUUGUAGAUAACAGCAGCUCCAAAACUCCUAGCAGGGUUGAUGCCAGUGCCAGUAAUUGGAAUAGUGGCAAGGUGAACCAUGAACACAGCAAAUCCAAUGGGAAGAGGUGCCAAUACCUUAAUUGGGAGAGAAAUUAAAUUAAUAGAAAUUUAAUUAAAUAUUAAUUAAAUCAUUUUAAUGUUAACAGGCACUUCAUAAAUUAUAAAAAGAAAUCAAAUGAUGAGUUUUUUUUUCUUUUUUUUAAAUAAUUUCUUAUAUUAUCUUGCGCUUGCUUUCCAAAUCAAAAACCUAACCAACUUCAGAUCAAAACUGUGGUGUGGAGAAAGUAAAGACCCCAGAAAUCAAGAUCUUGAGAUGAGAAAAACCAGCAAAGUCAGCAAGAAAAUGACUCAUGUCAUAUCCCAAGAACCUAAACAUUAAAUAGCACAAAUAUUUUAUCAAACAAUUCAGAGAAAACAGAAUCAGGUCCUUACAGGAACAUGGGAAUCUCUUGCAUUCCUCUUAGGAUCAGUGGCAGAGAAGACAGUAUAGACAAGAACAAAGGUACCAAUGAUCUCAGCACCCAAACCAGUGCCCUUGCUGUACCCAGAAGAGAGUUCGUUGGCCCCACCUCCAUACCUGGUGUAAUAAGCCUUUUGGAAGGCCUUGACCAAACCACACCCACAUAUUGCACCCAGGCACUGUGCUACCAUGUACAAAAGGGCCCUGAUUAGUGACACCUUGCGUCCCAGGAACAGCCCGAAGGUCACAGCUGGGUUAAUAUGUCCUCCAGAGAUACCAGCAGUGCAGUAAACAAGAAUAAAGAUCAUGCCACCAAAGGCCCAAGCAAUACCAAGAAUACCAACACCACCACAAGCAUCAGAAUUCUUGGCAGGGUCAGUCUGACUCUUAUAUCCAAUUACUGUCAACACAGUGAUAUAAAGGAAAAGAAGGGUAGCAAUGAACUCGGCAAUAAGAGCCCUGUAGAAGGACCAUUUUCCAAGUUCCUCUACAUCGAUCAAAGGUGCAGGUGGAGGGUCAUGGUAGUCUUUGGCCGAGAAUUCUCCAGGAUUCUCUGCAACUUCCACGUCCUUAGCCAUGAGAGAAUUAUUGAUCUAUAUAUUUUCUUGAUUUUGCGCUUCUCUGGUGGCUAGUGAGCUCUGAAAGGGGGUGGAGAAUAUGUGGUUAGAGAGGCGAGCAAAGAGGGGGUAUUUAUGGAAGAGAGGAUGGACGGUAUAUGAUUAAGAGAGUAUAAUAUUCAUCGUUUGAUGACAUAAUUAACUUAAAUUUUAAUUAGCCGACCAAAUACCAUCUUUUUCUUCAUUUUUUUUU